AGAGUUUGAUUCCCUGGCUCAGGAUGAACGCUGGCGGCGUGCCUAACACAUGCAAGUCGAACGGUCCCUUUCGGGGAUAGUGGCGGACGGGUGAGUAACGCGUGAGGAUCUGGCUACAGGACGGGGACAACGAAUGGAAACGUUCGCUAAUACCCGAUGUGCCGAGAGGUGAAAGAUUUAUUGCCUGUAGAUGAACUCGCGUCGGAUUAGCUAGUUGGUGGGGUAAGGGCCUACCAAGGCGACGAUCCGUAGCUGGUCUAAGAGGAUGAUCAGCCACACUGGGACUGAGACACGGCCCAGACUCCUACGGGAGGCAGCAGUGGGGAAUUUUCCGCAAUGGGGGGAACCCUGACGGAGCAACGCCGCGUGCGGGAGGAAGGCCUCCGGGUUGUAAACCCGCUUUUCUCUGGGAAGAAGAACUGACG
Molecule: ribosomal RNA, 425 nt
Filed under: uncultured bacterium
Lineage: Bacteria
Description: partial 16S ribosomal RNA
Rfam family: Bacterial small subunit ribosomal RNA
Source: RNAcentral